GACGAACGCUGGCGGCGUGCUUAACACAUGCAAGUCGAACGAUGAAGCUGGAGCUUGCUCCGGUGGAUUAGUGGCGAACGGGUGAGUAACACGUGAGCAAUCUGCCCUUGACUCUGGGAUAACUGCAGGAAACUGUAGCUAAUACCGGAUAUGAGGCUCGAAGGCAUCUUCGGGUCUGGCAAGAAUUUCGGUCAAGGAUGAGCUCGCGGCCUAGCCGCUUGUGGGGGAGGUAAUGGCUCACCAAGGCGACGACGGGUAGCGGGCCUGAGAGGGUGACCGGCCACACUGGGACUGAGACACGGCCCAGACUCCUACGGGAGGCAGCAGUGGGGAAUAUUGCACAAUGGGCGAAAGCCUGAUGCAGCAACGCCGCGUGAGGGAUGAAGGCCUUCGGGUUGUAAACCUCUUUUAGCAGGGAAGAAGCGAAAGUGACGGUACCUGCAGAAAAAGCACCGGCUAACUACGUGCCAGCAGCCGCAGUAA
This 483-nucleotide ribosomal RNA is filed under the name uncultured bacterium. RNAcentral's name for it is "partial 16S ribosomal RNA". It matches the Rfam family "Bacterial small subunit ribosomal RNA", at positions 28 to 523 of the family's 1533-position model. The record is from RNAcentral.